RNAcentral lists this long non-coding RNA (299 nucleotides) under Mytilus galloprovincialis (Mediterranean mussel). The record is from RNAcentral. Lineage: Eukaryota; Metazoa; Mollusca; Bivalvia; Mytilida; Mytilidae.
AUUUGUGCACUUUGGCAUGUCAACUAGCAUUGUCCCUUGGUGCCUCUUGCAGUUGUGUCACUUUAAAUAGUACUGACUCCUCUGCACCAGGCACGAGGAUGACAUACCAUUUAUGUGCAACUUCUUACAAUAUCUUACCAUAUCAUUAAUGUCCCGAAACACAUUUUAAUAUGCACCCACCAUGCCAUAUAGCACCGUCCCUAGGUGCCUCUUGCAGUUCAGCUAGAUAUAUUUAGCCUACUCACAGUAUUCUUUUUUGUUACUUUCCAGAGGUGUGCCUGAGACAAAGGUUUUAUAUA